This 139-nucleotide non-coding RNA is filed under the name Fragilariopsis kerguelensis. The record is from RNAcentral. Lineage: Eukaryota; Bacillariophyta; Bacillariophyceae; Bacillariales; Bacillariaceae.
GUGAUACCCUUCUCUUUCAUUUAUUAAGUGAAUAUCCUGAUGAUUUGAUUGUUGAUACUGAUCAGUUCCGAAAUCAGAGAUAGUGAUCGACAGUGGUGAUAGUUACGAUGAUGCUAUCAAUGACUGACGGUGGUGGUGA